Molecule: transfer RNA, 77 nt
Filed under: Desulfuromonas sp.
Lineage: Bacteria; Pseudomonadati; Thermodesulfobacteriota; Desulfuromonadia; Desulfuromonadales; Desulfuromonadaceae
Description: tRNA-Arg
Rfam family: tRNA
About the family: Transfer RNA (tRNA) molecules are approximately 80 nucleotides in length. Their secondary structure includes four short double-helical elements and three loops (D, anti-codon, and T loops). Further hydrogen bonds mediate the characteristic L-shaped molecular structure. tRNAs have two regions of fundamental functional importance: the anti-codon, which is responsible for specific mRNA codon recognition, and the 3' end, to which the tRNAs corresponding amino acid is attached (by aminoacyl-tRNA synthetases). tRNAs cope with the degeneracy of the genetic code in two manners: having more than one tRNA (with a specific anti-codon) for a particular amino acid; and 'wobble' base-pairing, i.e. permitting non-standard base-pairing at the 3rd anti-codon position.
Source: RNAcentral
GCGCCUGUAGCUCAACUGGAUAGAGCACCAGACUUCGGAUCUGGGGGUUGAGGGUUCGACUCCUUCCGGGCGCGCCA